Molecule: ribosomal RNA, 253 nt
Filed under: uncultured bacterium
Lineage: Bacteria
Description: partial 16S ribosomal RNA
Rfam family: Bacterial small subunit ribosomal RNA
Source: RNAcentral
CACGGGGGGAGCAAGCGUUGUUCGGAAUCACUGGGCGUAAAGGGCGUGUAGGCGGUCAGGUAAGUGGAAUGUGAAAGCCCUCGGCUCACCCGAGGAUCUGCAUUCCAAACUGCCUGGCUUGAGUAUGGGAGAGGAUGUGGGAAUUCCUGGUGUAGCGGUGAAAUGCGUAGAUAUCAGGAGGAACACCAAUAGCGAAGGCAGCUCGCUGGGACGUUACUGACACUGAGGCGCGAAAGCGUGGGGAGCGAACAGG